UACGUAGGUGGCAAGCGUUGUCCGGAAUUAUUGGGCGUAAAGCGCGCGCAGGCGGUCCUUUAAGUCUGAUGUGAAAGCCCACGGCUCAACCGUGGAGGGUCAUUGGAAACUGGGGGACUUGAGUGCAGAAGAGGAAAGUGGAAUUCCACGUGUAGCGGUGAAAUGCGUAGAGACGUGGAGGAACACCAGUGGCGAAGGCGACUUUCUGGUCUGUAACUGACGCUGAGGCGCGAAAGCGUGGGGAGCAAACAGG
Molecule: ribosomal RNA, 253 nt
Filed under: uncultured bacterium
Lineage: Bacteria
Description: partial 16S ribosomal RNA
Rfam family: Bacterial small subunit ribosomal RNA
Source: RNAcentral